GACGAACGCUGGCGGCGUGCUUAACACAUGCAGGUCGAACGGAAAGGCCCUGCUUUUGUGGGGUGCUCGAGUGGCGAACGGGUGAGUAACACGUGAGUAACCUGCCCUUGACUUUGGGAUAACUUCAGGUAACUGGGGCUAAUACCGGAUAGGAGCUCCUGCUGCAUGGUGGGGGUUGGAAAGUUUCGGCGGUUGGGGAUGGACUCGCGGCUUAUCAGCUUGUUGGUGGGGUAGUGGCUUACCAAGGCUUUGACGGGUAGCCGGCCUGAGAGGGUGACCGGCCACAUUGGGACUGAGAUACGGCCCAGACUCCUACGGGAGGCAGCAGUGGGGAAUAUUGCACAAUGGGCGGAAGCCUGAUGCAGCAACGCCGCGUGCGGGAUGACGGCCUUCGGGUUGUAAACCGCUUUCGCCUGUGACGAAGCGUGAGUGACGGUAAUGGGUAAAGAAGCACCGGCUAACUACGUG
RNAcentral lists this ribosomal RNA (468 nucleotides) under uncultured bacterium. RNAcentral describes it as "partial 16S ribosomal RNA". It matches the Rfam family "Bacterial small subunit ribosomal RNA", at positions 28 to 507 of the family's 1533-position model. The record is from RNAcentral.